GCGGUCAGCUCCUCUCAAAUGAAUCAGCUUACCAGUGUUUGGUGGGCAUCACAGGUGUGAUAACUAUCUGCGCUUGUGGUUUUCCACCAAGUAACCUUCAACAGUGGAGGUUCACUGGAGCUCACAGACGUCUCUCCUCAGUGAGGACAGCCCUUUGAAUGUUUGAUCUCAAAUCAGGUAGGACUACCCGCUGAACUUAA
This 200-nucleotide unclassified non-coding RNA is filed under the name soil metagenome. RNAcentral describes it as "partial contains internal transcribed spacer 2 and large subunit ribosomal RNA". The record is from RNAcentral.